Molecule: ribosomal RNA, 532 nt
Filed under: Penicillium spinulosum
Lineage: Eukaryota; Fungi; Ascomycota; Eurotiomycetes; Eurotiales; Aspergillaceae
Description: eukaryotic LSU rRNA
Rfam family: 5.8S ribosomal RNA (bases 158-311)
Source: RNAcentral
GCCACCUCCCACCCUUGUCUCUCUACACCUGUUGCUUUGGCGGGCCCACUGGGGCUCCCUGGUCGCCGGGGGACGCCUGUCCCCGGGCCCGCGCCCGCCGAAGCGCUUCGUGAACCCUGAUGAAGAAGGGCUGUCUGAGUACUAUGAAAAUUGUCAAAACUUUCAACAAUGGAUCUCUUGGUUCCGGCAUCGAUGAAGAACGCAGCGAAAUGCGAUAAGUAAUGUGAAUUGCAGAAUUCCGUGAAUCAUCGAAUCUUUGAACGCACAUUGCGCCCCCUGGCAUUCCGGGGGGCAUGCCUGUCCGAGCGUCAUUUCUGCCCUCAAGCACGGCUUGUGUGUUGGGUGUGGUCCCCCCGGGGACCUGCCCGAAAGGCAGCGGCGACGUCCGUCUGGUCCUCGAGCGUAUGGGGCUCUGUCACUCGCUCGGGAGGGACCUGCGGGGGUUGGUCACCACCACAUUUUCUAUUAUGGUUGACCUCGGAUCAGGUAGGAGUUACCCGCUGAACUUAAGCAUAUCAAUAAGCGGAGGAAU